Molecule: non-coding RNA, 70 nt
Organism: Podarcis lilfordi (Lilford's wall lizard)
Lineage: Eukaryota; Metazoa; Chordata; Lepidosauria; Squamata; Lacertidae
Source: the annotation of a GenBank genome assembly
GGUUAGCUCAGUUGGUUAGAGUGUAGUGCUAAUAAUGAAAAGGUUGCUGGUUCGAUCCCCGUAAGGGACA